RNAcentral lists this long non-coding RNA (679 nucleotides) under Heterocephalus glaber (naked mole-rat). RNAcentral's name for it is "lncRNA (ENSHGLG00100048782.1)". The record is from RNAcentral. Lineage: Eukaryota; Metazoa; Chordata; Mammalia; Rodentia; Bathyergidae.
UGGUUCUGGUGCCUAAGAUGUACAUUAGUUGGACCACACCAACCAGCCUUGCACGACCGUUCUGAGUAAUUGAGAGGAGUGUCUUCCUAAGUCACUAAGUUAUCCAGGCUGACUUGAACCUAAGAUCGUCCUGCCUCAGCCUUCCAGAGUGCUGGGAUUAUAGGGUUUGAAGCACAGUAGGUCUCUGCAAAUAUUUAUUAAAUGAAUGCACAUGUAUUCAAACCCAGGAGAUGGAGGAGAAAGAUCAGAGGGAGGAUUUGAUAAACAGAAGGCUUCUAAGAAACAGCUUCCAACUCAAAUCAGUCCUUAAAAAUUUUUUAUUUUAUUGUACUAAGAACACUUAACAUGAGAUCUACCCUCUUAACAAAUUUUAAAGUGAAUUUCAAAUUAUUAAAUCGAAAGAUGAUUAAAAAAACAGUUGAAAAGGCACUCAAUAUUCACUCGCUACCUUGGAAACGUGUUAAUUAUCAUUAUCAUAUCAUGUGACUGCUUCGGAUUAAGCGUCUGAGCUGGGCUAAGCACGGAGCUGAGAGCUUUGCACCUAUUCGCUUGUCUGGGCCUCCCGGGAGCCUGGCGUGCAGGUUCUGCCCCCUCCCUCGUCAGAGUGGAGACAAUGGAGGCUGCAGAAGCCUUUCUCCCACUACCACCCUGCCAGGUGCUGCCUCGGCUGAGCAAUGGG